RNAcentral lists this long non-coding RNA (1478 nucleotides) under Piliocolobus tephrosceles (Ugandan red Colobus). RNAcentral describes it as "lncRNA (ENSPTEG00000011389.1)". The record is from RNAcentral. Lineage: Eukaryota; Metazoa; Chordata; Mammalia; Primates; Cercopithecidae.
CAUGUAUAUACAUACCAAUUUUGUAACAUAGUGGAAAAUUUUCUACCAUAUUAACUACGUACAUAUAAACAAUUACUAAAUUUAGUUAUAUUCAUUUGUUUACAAAUGUAUGUUUUUUAUUUUUUUUUAUUUUUAUAGAUUAAUCUUAAAAAUAAUGUCACAAAACAAGCUAUACAUAUGCCAAACAGAUGGCAGUCGAACUAUUCGAGAAAGUUUGCAUACUUAGAUACAAAAAGUAACAAAAGCGAGGUAAAAAAUAAAACACACAAUUACGAUUUGAAUAAAAAAACAUACUCACUCCGUAAUCUUAAUUUUAUAAAAUUUAUUAGUAUUACUACUACAAGUUUAGUCAUUCCUUUUUUUUUAGCUAGUCUAAUCUUAUACAAUAAAAAUAGAAUAGAGAAUAAAAAUUUAAGUGCUUCUGAAAAAAUUAUAGGAAAGUAUUUAUAUAAAAGUGAAAAAAAUUUAUUUACUGAGAAGUCGAGUGAAUAUGCAGAUCGAGUUGAUAAUAUAUUUUAUAUUAUUAUGAAUAUAUAUAAUAAUAUAUUAACUUUUAUUAAUUUUUAUUUAAAUGUAAAAAAGAUAAAAACAAAGGACAAUAUAAAUGAAUAUAAUAUAUUAUUUUUUCAUUCAUACAAUGUAGAUAAAUUUUUAAAUUCAAGAAAUGUUAAAACAUAUGCUGAAAGAUUAAAAGAAAUUUAUAAAGAUAUAAAUAAAAAUAAUAAUGUUAAUAUAAUUUACGUUCCAUUAGAUAGUAAAAUAUUAUUUAACAUUAAACAUUUUGCAAAUAUGAAUAAUUGGUACAGUGUAUUAUUUCAUGAUAAAAAACGUAUUUUUAAUUUAAUAAAAAAUUAUAAUAUUAUGAAUAUUCCUACUAUGGUUUUAUUAGAUAAAAAUAUGAAUAUAAUAAAAGAUAACAUUAAUUAUUUAUUAUUACAUCAAAAAAAUGAUUUCCCAUAUAAAAAUAUGAAUAAUCUUACUUACAUUAAUGAAUUAUAUGAUAAAAAUAAUAAUAAAUAUAAAUUUAAAGAUUUACAUUCUGAUUAUGUUUUUUUUUAUUUCGACAAUAACAAAAAUAAUAAAGAAGAUAUUGAAUCUUUGAUUACAAUAAAAAAUAAAUUAGCUAAAAAAAAUAUAAAACUGGAUAUUAUUUUUGUAAAAGAUAUUCAAAAGAAAUUAAAAAAAAGUGAUACAAUUGGUAACACUACCAGUUCUGAUACUUAUAACAGUAGUAUCGAUAAAAAUAAUGACAAUAAUGAAAACGGUGAUGAUAGUAAACAGCUUGACAGUAAUAGUCAGACUAAUCCCCAUUCAAACACAAUAAAUGAAAUAGACAAAAAUGAUGAAAAUUUAUUAACAAAACAAACAGAAGGAAGAAAGGGUAAUAUACAUGAUAAUAAUGAUAGUGGGAAAAAUGGAGUAACAAAUUUUACCCAAAAUGGUAUAAGUGGUAAAAAUGGUAUAAGUGGUAAAAAUGG